Molecule: ribosomal RNA, 241 nt
Filed under: uncultured bacterium
Lineage: Bacteria
Description: partial 16S ribosomal RNA
Rfam family: Bacterial small subunit ribosomal RNA
Source: RNAcentral
CGACGUGAGGAACCUGCCUUUCAGAGGGGGACAACAGUUGGAAACGACUGCUAAUACCGCAUAACACAUAGGUGUCGCAUGGCAUUUAUGUCAAAGAUUUAUCGCUGAAAGAUGGCCUCGCGUCUGAUUAGCUAGUUGGUGAGGUAACGGCUCACCAAGGCGACGAUCAGUAGCCGGACUGAGAGGUUGGCCGGCCACAUUGGGACUGAGAUACGGCCCAGACUCCUACGGAAGGCAGCAG